RNAcentral lists this ribosomal RNA (487 nucleotides) under uncultured bacterium. RNAcentral's name for it is "bacterial SSU rRNA". It matches the Rfam family "Bacterial small subunit ribosomal RNA", at positions 31 to 507 of the family's 1533-position model. The record is from RNAcentral.
GAACGCUAGCUACAGGCUUAACACAUGCAAGUCGAGGGGCAGCAUGAACUUAGCUUGCUAAGUUUGAUGGCGACCGGCGCACGGGUGAGUAACACGUAUCCAACCUGCCGAUGACUCGGGGAUAGCCUUUUCGAAAGAAAGAUUAAUACCCGAUGGCAUAGUUCUUCCGCAUGGUAGAACUAUUAAAGAAUUUCGGUCAUCGAUGGGGAUGCGUUCCAUUAGGUUGUUGGUGAGGUAACGGCUCACCAAGCCUUCGAUGGAUAGGGGUUCUGAGAGGAAGGUCCCCCACAUUGGAACUGAGACACGGUCCAAACUCCUACGGGAGGCAGCAGUGAGGAAUAUUGGUCAAUGGGCGUUAGCCUGAACCAGCCAAGUAGCGUGAAGGAUGAAGGCUCUAUGGGUCGUAAACUUCUUUUAUAUAAGAAUAAAGUGCAGUAUGUAUACUGUUUUGUAUGUAUUAUAUGAAUAAGGAUCGGCUAACUCCGUG